RNAcentral lists this unclassified non-coding RNA (318 nucleotides) under plant metagenome. Its description in RNAcentral is "partial contains 5.8S ribosomal RNA, internal transcribed spacer 2, and large subunit ribosomal RNA". The stretch from base 1 to 105 matches the Rfam family "5.8S ribosomal RNA", at positions 50 to 154 of the family's 154-position model. The record is from RNAcentral.
GAAAUGCGAUAAGUAAUGUGAAUUGCAGAAUUCAGUGAAUCAUCGAAUCUUUGAACGCACAUUGCACCCGCCAGAAUUCUGGCGGGCAUGCCUGUUCGAGCGUCAUUUCAACCCUCGAGCUCCCCUUGCGGGGGGAGCCCGGCGUUGGGGACGCGGCGCCAACAGCGCCGGCCCCGAAAUGGAGUGGCGGCCCGUCCGCGGCGACCUCUGCGUAGUAACAUCCACUCGCACCGGGACCCGGGCGCGGCCACGCCGUAAAACACCCCACCUUCCGAAUGUUGACCUCGAAUCAGGUAGGAAUACCCGCUGAACUUAAGC